This is a long non-coding RNA of Etheostoma spectabile (orangethroat darter), 193 nucleotides long. RefSeq lists it as uncharacterized. The transcript has 3 exons. The record is from RefSeq and is a predicted model, not a curated record. Lineage: Eukaryota; Metazoa; Chordata; Actinopteri; Perciformes; Percidae.
CUGUGAUUUCUAUUGACUGCUGUAUAAAUUAGGGAUGCACCAAAUCCAGAUUUUUUGGGUUCGGCCGAAUACCAAAUCCACUGGUUAAGAUACUGCCGAAUCCAAAUACUGAAUCCUCCGCCAGUCCUCAGUCCAUUACCACAGUAAACACAUUAAUGAAAUAAACAACGCCCACAGCAGCGUAUUUUUCAUU